CCACCUGUUCCCAUUCCGAACACAGUAGUUAAGCAUUCAGAGGCCGAAAGUACUUGCCUGGAGACGGGCUGGGAGGAUAGGAAGUUGCCGGUA
This 93-nucleotide ribosomal RNA is filed under the name Selenomonas sp. Lineage: Bacteria; Bacillati; Bacillota; Negativicutes; Selenomonadales; Selenomonadaceae. The record is from RNAcentral.